AGCGAACGCUGGCGGAAUGCUUAACACAUGCAAGUCGCACGCCCUGCAAGGGGAGUGGCGGACGGGUGAGUAACGCGUAGGAAUAUGUCCAGAGGUGGGGGACAACCCUGGGAAACUGGGGCUAAUACCGCAUAUGGGCUGAGGCCCAAAGCAGUGAUGCGCCUUUGGAGUAGCCUGCGUCCGAUUAGCUUGUUGGUGGGGUAAAGGCUUACCAAGGCGACGAUCGGUAGCUGGUCUGAGAGGACGACCUGCCACACUGGGACUGAGACACGGCCCAGACUCCUACGGGAGGCAGCAGUGGGGAAUAUUGGACAAUGGGCGCAAGCCUGAUCCAGCAAUUCCGCGUGGGUGAAGAAGGUCUUCGGAUUGUAAAGCCCUUUCGACGGGGACGAUGAUGACGGUACCCGUAGAAGAAGCCCCGGCUAACUUCGUGCCAGCAGCCGCAGUAA
This 449-nucleotide ribosomal RNA is filed under the name uncultured bacterium. RNAcentral describes it as "partial 16S ribosomal RNA". It matches the Rfam family "Bacterial small subunit ribosomal RNA", at positions 29 to 523 of the family's 1533-position model. The record is from RNAcentral.